CCAGCACCUGCGGUAAUUCCAGCUCCAAUAGCGUAUAUUAAAGUUGAUGCAGUUAAAACGCUCGUAGUUGUAUGUAGGCUGUGUGGACGUUGGUGCGAAUCAAUGGACACGCAGCAGGCGGGGUGGGAGGGGUGAUGGGUGGUUUAACAACCAACCAACCCCCUCCAGCCCGCAGUUACUGUGAGGAAAUUAGAGUGUUCAAGGCAGGCGGUUGCUUGGAUAGGUCAGCAUGGGAUAACAUCAGAUUUGGUGUUGGUCAACAUACAAUCAUCUUGAAUAGGAACAGUCGGGGGCACUGGUAUUUGCUGGUCAGAGGUGAAAUUCUUGGAUCCAGCAAGGACCAACUGGGG
RNAcentral lists this ribosomal RNA (350 nucleotides) under uncultured eukaryote. RNAcentral describes it as "SSU rRNA". It matches the Rfam family "Eukaryotic small subunit ribosomal RNA", at positions 567 to 945 of the family's 1831-position model. The record is from RNAcentral.